CGGAGCAUGCGGAUUAAUUCGAUGCAACGCGAAGAACCUUACCAAGGCUUGACAUGAACCGGUAAUACCUGGAAACAGGUGCCCCGCUUGCGGUCGGUUUACAGGUGGUGCAUGGUUGUCGUCAGCUCGUGUCGUGAGAUGUUGGGUUAAGUCCCGCAACGAGCGCAACCCUCGUUCUAUGUUGCCAGCGCGUUAUGGCGGGGACUCAUAGGAGACUGCCGGGGUCAACUCGGAGGAAGGUGGGGACGACGUCAAAUCAUCAUGCCCCUUAUGUCUUGGGCUUCACGCAUGCUACAAUGGCCGGUACAAAGGGUUGCGAUACUGUGAGGUGGAGCUAAUCCCAAAAAGCCGGUCUCAGUUCGGAUUGGGGUCUGCAACUCGACCCCAUGAAGUCGGAGUCGCUAGUAAUCGCAGAUCAGCAACGCUGCGGUGAAUACGUUCCCGGGCCUUGUACACACCGCCCGUCAAGUCACGAAAGUUGGUAACACCCGAAGCCGGUGGCCUAACCCUUGUGGGGGGAGCCGUCGAAGGUGGGACCGGCGAUUGGGACUAAGUCGUAACAAGGUAGCCGUACCGGAAGGUGCGGCUGGAUCACCUCCU
RNAcentral lists this ribosomal RNA (600 nucleotides) under bacterium TN49A. RNAcentral describes it as "bacterial SSU rRNA". It matches the Rfam family "Bacterial small subunit ribosomal RNA", at positions 933 to 1531 of the family's 1533-position model. The record is from RNAcentral.